GAUAAGCUGGGCUCGGGCCUGUGAACCCCAGGCCGCUGAAGGAGAACACGCGAACUUAGCUGCCCACCAGGCCAGCCCCUCUACCCGGGCCUUUUUAUAUUCGCUAUGGCCAGUCACAAGGGCAUCGGUCUCCGAGAAUCUCUGAAGUGUCCUCACAGAAGAGAACAAUGGCUCUGAAGUGCUACCACAGGAGAUCCCGAGUGGGACAAAAGCUGAUACUUGGAAGCUGGAGGUGGAUCAUAACAGAACUUCUUCAGGGGAGCGCUCUGUCUCUGCCCUUCAGUGACGAAGCGUGUUCUUCAGGAAUUUGCCAGAUUGUGGGCGAGUUUGCCUGGUGUCAGAGGUUGAUUGCCUCACCUGCUUUUGUCGGCUUGAGCUGGGCUCCCUCCCUGUCGUCAUGCCACAGCUCAGCAGUCUCCGGACCUGGGCACGGCUCCCUUCCUCUGCUGGGGUGGUGCAUGUGGGCAGCGUCUCCUGACGCAGGGUGGCUACAUGUUCUAGGCUUUGAGACACAGCAGACAGAGCUGAGCAAGAGCAUGAAGGAACGGCCCCCGAGCACAAGGAGCUGCUCUGUGCAUUUGUGCAACACCUCCCUGCCAACCAUGCAGAAAGCUUGGGCUUUUUAAUCCA
Molecule: long non-coding RNA, 630 nt
Filed under: Equus caballus (horse)
Lineage: Eukaryota; Metazoa; Chordata; Mammalia; Perissodactyla; Equidae
Description: lncRNA (ENSECAG00000048652.1)
Source: RNAcentral